GACGAACGCUGGCGGCGUGCUUAACACAUGCAAGUCGAACGGAAAGGCCCUGCUUUUGUGGGGUGCUCGAGUGGCGAACGGGUGAGUAACACGUGAGUAACCUGCCCUUGACUUUGGGAUAACUUCAGGAAACUGGGGCUAAUACCGGAUAGGAGCUCCUGCUGCAUGGUGGGGGUUGGAAAGUUUCGGCGGUUGGGGAUGGACUCGCGGCUUAUCAGCUUGUUGGUGGGGUAGUGGCUUACCAAGGCUUUGACGGGUAGCCGGCCUGAGAGGGUGACCGGCGACAUUGGGACUGAGAGACGGCCCAGACUCCUACGGGAGGCAGCAGUGGGGAAUAUUGCACAAUGGGCGGAAGCCUGAUGCGGCAACGCCGCGUGCGGGAUGACGGCCUUCGGGUUGUAAACCGCUUUCGCCUGUGACGAAGCGUGAGUGACGGUAAUGGGUAAAGAAGCACCGGCUAACUACGUG
This 468-nucleotide ribosomal RNA is filed under the name uncultured bacterium. RNAcentral describes it as "partial 16S ribosomal RNA". It matches the Rfam family "Bacterial small subunit ribosomal RNA", at positions 28 to 507 of the family's 1533-position model. The record is from RNAcentral.